Molecule: RNA transcript, 3317 nt
Organism: Hemicordylus capensis (graceful crag lizard)
Lineage: Eukaryota; Metazoa; Chordata; Lepidosauria; Squamata; Cordylidae
Exons: 12
Source: RefSeq, a predicted model, not a curated record
GUGAGAGAGAGAGAGAGAAUGGAGCAGUCUUGGUGUGUGUGUGUGUGUGAGAGAGAGAGAAUGGAACAGUCUUGGUGUGUGUGUGUGUGAGAGAGAGAGAGAAUGGAACAGUCUUGGUGGGUGAGAGAGAGAGAGAGAGAGAGAAUGGAGCAGUCUUGGUGGGGGAGAGAGAGAGAAAGACUUAAGAGACUUAAGAGCAGACCCCAGCCACAAAGGUAGCUGUUUGGAUGAAUGGCAGUGGAUGGAGGUGUGGGUGUCUGCUCUGAGGGGCCUGUGGUGGUGGUGGUGUCGCUUUAAACAGGGUGGGCAAGAGAGCCCUCUGAUUUCUCAGACAAACAGAUAGAAGAACAUGAAGGGUUGCGAAGGGUCUGCAGCUGCUGCAGGGAGCUGUUUCAAGCCUCCCCCUCAUGUGAUUCCAUCACCUGCAAGUCCCCCAGAUGGAGGUUCUGGCAGAGGAGGAACCGGAUGGGCCCUCUCCGGCUCCCCCUCCAACUCUGGCUUCUCCGCCAACUCCAUCUUCUCCAGUUCCACAAGGGGGUACCAGGCAUCUUCGGGAGUCACCAUCGACUUGAGCCCUGCAGCAGAGAAGAUAAGAGAACGAGAUCAGGUCAUCCUCUGGUGGACAACCUUGCUGAAUUCCAUUGUGGAGAGAGUGCAUGACGCUGAGUCCUGGUGGGAGUAUCCAGUGGAAUUCGGCAAGGAGAUAAUGGAGGAUGUUACAGCGCAUCCGGACCCUGGCUCCUUCUUCAGGAAAACCCUGGACACCGUCACGGAGCUGAGGCUCCUGCUGCUUCUACUCCUGGGGUCCAUGCAAUGGUUUGACUGCCUGCAGAGGUUCUUCCUUACAUUUCUGAGAUAUAACGUGCAAGCUCUUCUUCCGGGAUCAUUAAUGAUACUUUUCAAUGUCUCCAAAGGAUGCUUAGGGGGUUUCUGGAGGAGGCCCUCUUGGCUCACAAUUUGGCCAGCAUCUUGACGGAGCUCCAAAGGUACAGCACUGCUCAGGAGCCCCAACUGCAGGCUCUGGCCCAGGAAGCCUGCAGCUGUCUCCUGCAACAUGCGGCCAGCCUGCCAGCUUUUCAUCUGACAACACUGAAGCCAAAAGAAAUAAAGAGCAACAUCCAAGGCUGAGAGAUAAGAAGCAUAAGAAAAAGAACUUGUGCAUAAGAAAAAGAACAUUUCAUAAGAAGAAUCAUAAGAACAAGAACUUGUGUCCACAGCACAACAAUUAAACCAAGGAAAUAGCCUAUCUUCCCUAAAUGCUUACCUGGAGUCAGUAAUGGGCUGGAUGAGGGAAAACAAACUGAGGUUGAAUAAAGGAAGAUGAUUGGAAUAUAGGAAGUGGCUUAGAUCUGUCUGUUCUGGAAGGGGUUACACUCCCCCAGAAAGAGUAGAGUUUUCCAGCCAAUUAAAAAUGAAGACCUUUCUAAGCCAAUGCACACACUGGAGCAGCUCUUCACUCCAACCCUGAUAUCUCAACUGCCUACAGUCCAAAAAAAUCUCAGUCAUCGGCUCUGAUUCCAAAAAAGUGUUUUCUACCUAAGUCUGAACCGGGACUUCCAGUCCGAGACAUGGAUGAUUAUGAACUCAACAGAGCCUCCAGAGACUACUCCAGUCCCAAAAAAGGGAGACCAGAGAAGCCACACCAACAUCACAGACCAAGUGGUCCAUAUGGCUAACUCUUUAUAUAUCCAGAUGAACAAACCUCCUAAAUCUUCUCCUGAUCCCAUUUUUGGGCCAAUUGAUGUGGACACUUGGCACUCUAACUUCCUACCACUGAACUCUGCUUGAAUGGACAUUGUCAAAGCUUGCUGGGGGAAACCUGCAUCGUAGUCACCUACUUCUAGGAAGCUGGAAGGUUUUUACAAGGUUCAAGCUAGGGACAGUCAAUUCCUUCUGCACCAUCCUACUCCUAACUCCAUGACAGUUGAAACUGCUCAGUUCCAUUCAAAGAACAGAAUGCUUUUGGCACUGACAGUAUGAUUCAUUCAAUAUCUGCGGUGGUAGCUCUGCACCAGCACAGAUGGAUGUGUUCAACUAGCUUGGCACCUGAAACAAGAACAAGAAUAGUGUCGUGGGCAUGCUGGAAGACUCCAAGGAGGAGUUGGAAGUGGAGACAGAGCUGAGAGCAGAGGAGGGUAGGCAAGGACCAGAAGUUGCAAAGGAGAGUGGGUCCGACGCACAAGGAGUCGAAGAUGAGAGAGCUGGGUGAGGCAGCUCUUGUGGAGGAGGCGUGACCAGUCUCAGCUGUGGAGAUGCGCCGGUCCACGAGACAGCAAGAGUUAAGGAGCCGAGUGCGUAGAAGAACAGGCAAAGGUGCUGACUCAGCAACUCUUAAUUAACAGCACCGGGGGUCAGCCUACAUAAGAUGCUACCCUGCUGAUAGCAACAAGAGUUUCCUGCGAGCUAAUCGGCUGUGUUUGUGUAUUAUUUGGACUGUGUUUGGAGCCUGCACUGUGUUGACCUUGCCUGUGGAUUUGGCUUUGGACUCUGUUGGAUUGAUUCAGACUGGACCUGGUUUGGAGAAUGGAUUCCUGUUAUAUUUUGCUCUUCUGCUUCUGCCUCUGUUGUGCUUCGUCUGGCUAGCCUGACAGAUUUACGACAAAGAGAGAACUUUCCUCUUGAUGGCCAGGCUCUUGUUGGAAAGGAUACACAAACUGAGAAAGACAGGGAAAUCUAUGAACUCUCAGCAAGCUGCCUACAAUUUUUCAAGGGGUAACAAAUAUUCCUGCUCUUCUUCUGCAACAUCAUUUUGUCCUUCCAACUACUCUCCCUCGGCCAAUCAUUCCCUUCAUCCUUCUCAGAUCUCCGAAUUUCAAAAAAGACAGGACUCAUUGGGAAAAGCCCAACAUCCCAAAUCUAAACCAUCAGUAUAUCACAAAUCUAAACCAUCGAUGUACAGCUCAUGAUUCAAGGAUCUGCAAAUAUUAUUCAUUACAGCAAUGAUGUGGACUUGGGGUUUUUUGUUCAGGACUACACAACCGAUAUUUUCCCAGUAUUUCAGAAGGCAGGAUUACUACUAAAGCACAAGUUUGGCAAGACUGGUGGAUAGUAUACAACUGCUUGUCUGUAGUCUUUUGCUCCUCUUGGGGAACCCCUCCUUUUAAAGUGUCUGCAAUGCAAAUUUACCACAAAAUCUUACAGGGAGAAUGUUUUGUGCCCUCGUCCUCACACAACAUUGAUGUGCACAGAUACCUCAGAAGCCCUAUUCAGACAUUAUGUUGUACUCAUUCAAGAUCUCUGUACACUUGUAGAUGGUUUUCUGUGAAUGACUGUAUGGGGUUCAUUUUUAAAGGGAACCUGGGUACUGGACCCUCAAA